This 484-nucleotide ribosomal RNA is filed under the name uncultured bacterium. Its description in RNAcentral is "partial 16S ribosomal RNA". It matches the Rfam family "Bacterial small subunit ribosomal RNA", at positions 29 to 507 of the family's 1533-position model. The record is from RNAcentral.
AUUGAACGCUGGCGGCAGGCCUAACACAUGCAAGUCGAGCGGAUGAAGGGAGCUUGCUCCUGGAUUCAGCGGCGGACGGGUGAGUAAUGCCUAGGAAUCUGCCUGGUAGUGGGGGAUAACGUCCGGAAACGGGCGCUAAUACCGCAUACGUCCUGAGGGAGAAAGUGGGGGAUCUUCGGACCUCACGCUAUCAGAUGAGCCUAGGUCGGAUUAGCUAGUUGGUGGGGUAAAGGCCUACCAAGGCGACGAUCCGUAACUGGUCUGAGAGGAUGAUCAGUCACAGUGGAAGAGAGACACGGUGCAGACGCCUACGGGAGGCAGCAGUAGGGAAUAUUGCGAAAUGGGCGAAAGCAUGAAGGAGAAAUGCGGAGGGAGUGAGGAAGGUAUUGGGAUUGUAAAACUCUGUUAUUAGGGAAGAAAAAAAGUGUAAGUAAAUAUGGAGGUAUUGACGGUACAUAAUAAGAAGGCAACGGCUAACUACGUG